RNAcentral lists this small RNA (77 nucleotides) under Halpernia frigidisoli. Its description in RNAcentral is "Flavo-1 RNA". It matches the Rfam family "Flavo-1 RNA". The record is from Rfam by way of RNAcentral. Lineage: Bacteria; Pseudomonadati; Bacteroidota; Flavobacteriia; Flavobacteriales; Weeksellaceae.
AUUUAGCCCUGAUUGAAGCGACAUCCUUUUUGUCCGCUGCGGCGGAUAAAAAGAUAUAGCGGAAAGCAGGACAGAUU